Molecule: signal recognition particle RNA, 148 nt
Filed under: Pan paniscus (pygmy chimpanzee)
Lineage: Eukaryota; Metazoa; Chordata; Mammalia; Primates; Hominidae
Also listed under: 1 other name
Description: Metazoan signal recognition particle RNA
Rfam family: Metazoan signal recognition particle RNA
About the family: The signal recognition particle (SRP) is a universally conserved ribonucleoprotein. It is involved in the co-translational targeting of proteins to membranes. The eukaryotic SRP consists of a 300-nucleotide 7S RNA and six proteins: SRPs 72, 68, 54, 19, 14, and 9.
Source: Rfam by way of RNAcentral
GCCGGGCGUAGUGGUGCACGCCUGUAAUCCCAGCUACUCAGGAGGCUGAGGCAGGAGAAUUGCUUGAACCCAGGAGGUGGAGGUUGCAGUGAGCCAAGAUCACACCACUGCACUCCAGCCUGGGUGACAGAGUGAGACCCUGUCUCAA